GUUAGUCGUGACAACUGGAUUUGGAGGACAUGAUGGAUCAUCCUGCAAAGAUGUCAACUGUAGAAGAGCAGCAGCAGUGUUGUGUGUGUUUAGAGACGUGCAAAGAUCCAGUGUCUCUCAGCUGUCAUCACUGCUUCUGUGUCCACUGCUCGGACACACUCAGAGGACAACAUGCAAGCAAGACAUGUCCGCUUUGCACAAGGAGAAGGUCAAUGGAUACAACGCUGCUCUUUUCUGAUGGCAAAUAUGAUUUUGACAACGUCCAAUAAAAGAAAAAGUGCAUUUUGCCAAAGGACAGCGUCAUUGGAACUACAAACCACGCCCCCGACCACGCCCCCCUUCUACCCCGACGGGAUCUACUGAAAGAGGAUCUGCAAGUCUUGGACAGAGGACAUGAUGGAUCAUCCUGCAAAGAUGUCAACUGUAGAAGAGCAGCAGCAGUGUUUAGAGACGUGCAAAGAUCCAGUGUCUCUCAGCUUGGACACACUCAGAGGACAACAUGCAAGCAAGACAUGUCCACUUGGCACAAGGAGAGCAUCUUUCGAUCUACCACCAUGGAACAACUUUGUUUUGGAGACAAAGGAGGACAACCUGGGACACAAUAAGAGAACAAACAUUAAAAAUUCGGAAUGAAGAUGAGAGAAAAUACAAAUCAAGAUGAACAAGCAUUGUGGAGAAAGAAUGUGCAGGAAGGGAAUGUUGAACAAUGAAAUGUUUACUGAAGCUGGACAUGUUAAAAAGUGUAAAUAGAGCUGAUGUGGUACAAGAACUGGACUUCUAGGUUCAAAGUAGUCAACCUGGGACUUUCAGUACAGAUCAAAAGUUUGGUUGAAAAUGAAACGUCCAUUAAAUUAAUUCUUGUUUCUGGUGAUGGUUUUUAUAUUAGUAUUAUCUUGAUUUUGUAUGUACUUUGUCAUAUUUUAUUCAGUAUGGUACUUUUUCAUCACUUACAAUAUUGUUUGUUUUUGGUACACUAAUGUAUAUAUUGUUGGCCAUUGGUUCUUUGUUUAUCUAUUUCUAUAUUGCUCUUUUUUUAUCUUUGGU
Nerophis lumbriciformis (worm pipefish) is the source of this 1044-nucleotide long non-coding RNA. RefSeq lists it as uncharacterized. The record is from RefSeq and is a predicted model, not a curated record. Lineage: Eukaryota; Metazoa; Chordata; Actinopteri; Syngnathiformes; Syngnathidae.